AGGACGAACGCUGGCGGCGCGCUUCAAGCAUGCAAGUCGAACGAGAUACCCGGGCUUGCCCGGGUGGAGAGUGGCGAACGGGUGAGUAACACGUGAGGAACCUGCCCCGAAGACCGGGAUAACGCCGGGAAACUGGUGCUAAUACCGGAUGCCCUCGCCGGAUCGCAUGGUCUGGCGAAGAAAUGGAUUCCGCUUCGGGAUGGCCUCGCGGCCUAUCAGCUAGUUGGUGGGUAACGCCCACCAAGGCAGCGACGGGUAGCUGGUCUGAGAGGAUGUCCAGCCACACUGGGACUGAGACACGGCCCAGACUCCUACGGGAGGCAGCAGCUAGGAAUCUUGCGCAAUGGACGAAAGUCUGACGCAGCGACGCCGCGUGCGGGAUGAAGGCCUUCGGGUUGUAAACCGCUUUCAGCAGGGACGAAAUUGACGGUACCUGCAGAAGAGGCCGCAACUACGUGCCAGCAGCCGC
RNAcentral lists this ribosomal RNA (469 nucleotides) under uncultured bacterium. RNAcentral's name for it is "SSU rRNA". It matches the Rfam family "Bacterial small subunit ribosomal RNA", at positions 26 to 518 of the family's 1533-position model. The record is from RNAcentral.